GUGCUUGCUUUGGCAGCACACAUACUAAAAUUGGAACCAUACAGAGAAGAUUAGCAUGUGCCCUGUGCAAGGAUGACACACAAAUUCUUUAAGUGUUUCAUAUUUGU
Molecule: small nuclear RNA, 107 nt
Organism: Capra hircus (goat)
Lineage: Eukaryota; Metazoa; Chordata; Mammalia; Artiodactyla; Bovidae
Source: Ensembl